CGUAAACGAUGUCGACUAGCCGUUGGGAUCCUUGAGAUCUUAGUGGCGCAGCUAACGCGAUAAGUCGACCGCCUGGGGAGUACGGCCGCAAGGUUAAAACUCAAAUGAAUUGACGGGGGCCCGCACAAGCGGUGGAGCAUGUGGUUUAAUUUGAAGCAACGCGAAGAACCUUACCUGGCCUUGACAUGCUGAGAACUUUCCAGAGAUGGAUUGGUGCCUUCGGGAACUCAGACACAGGUGCUGCAUGGCUGUCGUCAGCUCGUGUCCUGAGAUGUUGGGUUAAGUCCCGUAACGAGCGCAACCCUUGUCCUUAGUUACCAGCACCUCGGGUGGGCACUCUAAGGAGACUGCCGGUGACAAACCGGAGGAAGGUGGGGAUGACGUCAAGUCAUCAUGGCCCUUACGGCCAGGGCUACACACGUGCUACAAUGGUCGGUACAAAGGGUUGCCAAGCCGCGAGGUGGAGCUAAUCCCAUAAAACCGAUCGUAGUCCGGAUCGCAGU
This 503-nucleotide ribosomal RNA is filed under the name Pseudomonas aeruginosa. Its description in RNAcentral is "bacterial SSU rRNA". It matches the Rfam family "Bacterial small subunit ribosomal RNA", at positions 801 to 1304 of the family's 1533-position model. Lineage: Bacteria; Pseudomonadati; Pseudomonadota; Gammaproteobacteria; Pseudomonadales; Pseudomonadaceae. The record is from RNAcentral.